RNAcentral lists this ribosomal RNA (614 nucleotides) under uncultured bacterium. Its description in RNAcentral is "bacterial SSU rRNA". It matches the Rfam family "Bacterial small subunit ribosomal RNA", at positions 112 to 704 of the family's 1533-position model. The record is from RNAcentral.
AACGCGUAGGUAAUCUACCCUAGAGUCUGGAAUAACCGGCCGAAAGGCUGGCUAAUACUGGAUAGAGCGAAGAACUCGUAAGAGGGUUUUUCGGGAAAGGGAGGCAGCAAUGCCCCUUGCUUUAGGAUGAGCCUGCGUCUCAUUAGCUAGUUGGUAGGGUAAUGGCCUACCAAGGCAUUGAUGGGUAGCUGGUCUGAGAGGAUGAUCAGCCACACUGGAACUGAAACACGGUCCAGACUCCUACGGGAGGCAGCAGUGGGGAAUCUUGCGCAAUGGACGAAAGUCUGACGCAGCAACGCCGCGUGAGUGAAGAAGGCCUUAGGGUUGUAAAGCUCUGUCGAGCGGGACGAAAAUGCUUGGGGUUAACAGCCUCAGGAACUGACGGUACCGCUAAAGGAAGCACCGGCUAACUCUGUGCCAGCAGCCGCGGUAAUACAGAGGGUGCAAGCGUUGCUCGGAAUCAUUGGGCGUAAAGGGUAGGUAGGUGGUCUCAUUUGUCAGGGGUGAAAUCCUUGGGCUUAACUCAAGAAGUGCCCCUGAAACGGUGAGACUGGAGUCUUGGAGAGGGUCGUGGAAUUCCCGGUGUAGCGGUGAAAUGCGUAGAGAUCGGGAGG